RNAcentral lists this ribosomal RNA (460 nucleotides) under uncultured bacterium. RNAcentral describes it as "partial 16S ribosomal RNA". It matches the Rfam family "Bacterial small subunit ribosomal RNA", at positions 338 to 795 of the family's 1533-position model. The record is from RNAcentral.
CCUACGGGAGGCAGCAGUGAGGAAUAUUGGUCAAUGGACGAGAGUCUGAACCAGCCAAGUAGCGUGAAGGAUGACUGCCCUAUGGGUUGUAAACUUCUUUUAUAAAGGAAUAAAAUGAGGCACGUGUGCCUUUUUGCAUGUACUUUAUGAAUAAGGAUCGGCUAACUCCGUGCCAGCAGCCGCGGUAAUACGGAGGAUCCGAGCGUUAUCCGGAUUUAUUGGGUUUAAAGGGAGCGUAGAUGGGUUGUUAAGUCAGUUGUUAAAGUUUGGGGCUCAACCGUAAAAGUGCCAUUGAUACUGGCAGUCUUGAGUACAGUUGAGGUAGGCGGAAUUCGUGGUGUAGCGGUGAAAUGCUUAGAUAUCACGAAGAACCCCGAUUGCGAAGGCAGCUUACUAAACUGUGACUGACAUUGAUGCUCGAAAGUGUGGGUAUCAAACAGGAUUAGAUACCCUUGUAGUC